UACGUAGGGUGCAAGCGUUGUCCGGAAUUAUUGGGCGUAAAGAGCUCGUAGGCGGUUUGUCGCGUCUGCUGUGAAAUCUGGGGACUCAACCCCCAGCCUGCAGUGGGUACGGGCAGACUAGAGUGCGGUAGGGGAGAUUGGAAUUCCUGGUGUAGCGGUGGAAUGCGCAGAUAUCAGGAGGAACACCGAUGGCGAAGGCAGAUCUCUGGGCCGUAACUGACGCUGAGGAGCGAAAGCAUGGGGAGCGAACAGG
This 253-nucleotide ribosomal RNA is filed under the name uncultured bacterium. Its description in RNAcentral is "partial 16S ribosomal RNA". It matches the Rfam family "Bacterial small subunit ribosomal RNA", at positions 524 to 776 of the family's 1533-position model. The record is from RNAcentral.